Molecule: non-coding RNA, 236 nt
Organism: Pelobates cultripes (western spadefoot toad)
Lineage: Eukaryota; Metazoa; Chordata; Amphibia; Anura; Pelobatidae
Source: the annotation of a GenBank genome assembly
CGGGGUGACUAGUGACAGAGUGAGAGAGAGGGUGACACAGUGACAGAGUGAGGGAGGGGGUGACUAGUGACAGAGUGAAGGAGGUGGUGACUGUCACUAGUCACACCCUUCCCUCCCUCACUCUGUCACUAGUCACCACCUCCCUCUGUCACUACUCCCUCCCUCCUUCUGUCACUAGUCACCCCCUCCCUCACUGUGUCACUAGUCACCCCCUCACUCUGUCACUAGUCACCCCC